This 260-nucleotide ribosomal RNA is filed under the name uncultured Enterobacterales bacterium. RNAcentral's name for it is "partial 16S ribosomal RNA". It matches the Rfam family "Bacterial small subunit ribosomal RNA", at positions 524 to 783 of the family's 1533-position model. Lineage: Bacteria; Pseudomonadati; Pseudomonadota; Gammaproteobacteria; Enterobacterales. The record is from RNAcentral.
UACGGAGGGUGCAAGCGUUAAUCGGAAUUACUGGGCGUAAAGCGCACGCAGGCGGUUUGUUAAGUCAGAUGUGAAAUCCCCGGGCUCAACCUGGGAACUGCAUCUGAUACUGGCAAGCUUGAGUCUCGUAGAGGGGGGUAGAAUUCCAGGUGUAGCGGUGAAAUGCGUAGAGAUCUGGAGGAAUACCGGUGGCGAAGGCGGCCCCCUGGACGAAGACUGACGCUCAGGUGCGAAAGCGUGGGGAGCAAACAGGAUUAGAU